CCUACGGGAGGUAGCAGUGAGGAAUAUUGGUCAAUGGACGCAAGUCUGAACCAGCCAUGCCGCGUGCAGGAAGACGGCUCUAUGAGUUGUAAACUGCUUUUGUACGAGGGUAAACGCAGAUACGCGUAUCUGUCUGAAAGUAUCGUACGAAUAAGGAUCGGCUAACUCCGUGCCAGCAGCCGCGGUAAUACGGAGGAUUCAAGCGUUAUCCGGAUUUAUUGGGUUUAAAGGGUGCGUAGGCGGUCCGGAAAGUCAGCGGUAAAAGCCCGGGGCUCAACCCCGGCGAGCCGUUGAAACUGUCGGACUAGAGACGGCGAGAAGUACGCGGAAUGCGCGGUGUAGCGGUGAAAUGCAUAGAUAUCGCGCAGAACUCCGAUUGCGAAGGCAGCUUACUAAACUGCCACUGACAUUGAUGCUCGAAAGUGUGGGUAUCAAACAGGAUUAGAUACCCUUGUAGUC
This 459-nucleotide ribosomal RNA is filed under the name uncultured bacterium. Its description in RNAcentral is "partial 16S ribosomal RNA". It matches the Rfam family "Bacterial small subunit ribosomal RNA", at positions 338 to 795 of the family's 1533-position model. The record is from RNAcentral.